ACUCUGACAAACAGAAAACCUGAUCAACAACUGUUUUCACUACAACUGAACCUACAAGAACAACAAUGACCUUCAGCAGCAUAUUGAUCUGGACACUGGCAGCAUUAUGUGGAGAAUGUAUUGGUCAGGUGACAGUGACUCAAACUCCCUCAGUGCUGCUCUCUGAACCUGGACGAUCACUCACUGUCAAUUGCAGAUUCAGCAGUGAUCCAGAGUGUUGUUGCAAUAGUAAACAGUGUGUUAGCUGGUACUUACAGAAACCUGGAGAAGCUCCUAAACUUCUGAUCUAUGGAACAAGCACCCGAUAUUCAGGAACUGCAUCUAGAUUCAGUGGCAGUGAAUCUAACAGUGAUUUCACUCUGAGCAUCAGUGGAGUCCAGACUGAAGAUGCUGGAUAUUAUUACUGUCAGAGUUUACACAACAUCAACAGUAACGCUGUGUUCACACAGUGA
Danio aesculapii is the source of this 452-nucleotide non-coding RNA. NCBI's taxonomy places the organism in Eukaryota, Metazoa, Chordata, Actinopteri, Cypriniformes, Danionidae. The record is from the annotation of a RefSeq genome assembly.